This 231-nucleotide ribosomal RNA is filed under the name uncultured bacterium. RNAcentral describes it as "partial 16S ribosomal RNA". It matches the Rfam family "Bacterial small subunit ribosomal RNA", at positions 109 to 334 of the family's 1533-position model. The record is from RNAcentral.
AGUAACACGUGGGCAACCUGCCCCGAUGAUUGGGACAACCCGAGGAAACUCGGGCUAAUACCGAAUGUGCCCUCCGGCCAUAAGGCCGCUGGGGAAAGGAAGCUUCGGCCUCCGCAUCGGGAUGGGCCCGCGGCCCAUUAGCUUGUUGGUGAGGUAACGGCUCACCAAGGCAACGAUGGGUAGCUGGUCUGAGAGGACGAUCAGCCACACUGGGACUGAGACACGGCCCAG